CCUACGGGGUGCAGCAGUGGGGAAUAUUGGGCAAUGGAGGCAACUCUGACCCAGCAACGCCGCGUGAAGGAAGAAGGCCUUAGGGUUGUAAACUGCUUUUGUACAAGGGUAAACCUGAAUACGUGUAUUCAGCUGAAAGUACUGUACGAAUAAGGAUCGGCUAACUCCGUGCCAGCAGCCGCGGUAAUACGGAGGAUCCAAGCGUUAUCCGGAUUUAUUGGGUUUAAAGGGUGCGUAGGCGGAUUGAUAAGUUAGAGGUGAAAUGUCCGAGCUUAACUAGGGAACUGCCUCUAAUACUGUUGAUCUAGAGAGUAGAUGCGGUAGGCGGAAUGUAUGGUGUAGCGGUGAAAUGCUUAGAGAUCAUACAGAACACCGAUUGCGAAGGCAGCUUACCAAUCUAUAUCUGACGUUGAGGCACGAAAGCGUGGGGAGCAAACAGGAUUAGAUACCCCAAUAGUC
This 459-nucleotide ribosomal RNA is filed under the name uncultured bacterium. Its description in RNAcentral is "partial 16S ribosomal RNA". It matches the Rfam family "Bacterial small subunit ribosomal RNA", at positions 338 to 795 of the family's 1533-position model. The record is from RNAcentral.